Molecule: ribosomal RNA, 500 nt
Filed under: uncultured bacterium
Lineage: Bacteria
Description: bacterial SSU rRNA
Rfam family: Bacterial small subunit ribosomal RNA
Source: RNAcentral
GAUGAACGCUAGCGGCAGGCUUAAUACAUGCAAGUCGAACGGGAUUUAGGAGCUUGCUUCUAAUGAGAGUGGCGCACGGGUGAGUAACACGUACACAAUCUACCUUGUACAGGGGGAUAGCCUUGGGAAACUGAGAAUAAUACCCCAUAGUUUUAAUUAUCGCAUGAUAGAUUAAAUAAAGCUGAGGCGGUACAAGAUGAGUGUGCGGAUGAUUAGGUAGUUGGUAGGGUAACGGCCUACCAAGCCGACGAUCAAUAGCUGGCGUGAGAGCGCGACCAGCCACACUGGAACUGAGACACGGUCCAGACUCCUACGGGAGGCAGCAGUAGGGAAUAUUGGACAAUGGGCGAAGCCUGAUCCAGCCAUGCCGCGUGGAGGAUUAAGGGCCCUCUGGGUUGUAAACUCCUUUUUAUCUGGGAAGAACCAUUCCGACUUGUCGGAACAUGACGGUACCAGAGGAAUAAGCACCGGCUAAACUCCGUGCCAGCAGCCGCGGUAAU